Molecule: transfer RNA, 27 nt
Filed under: Canis lupus (wolf)
Lineage: Eukaryota; Metazoa; Chordata; Mammalia; Carnivora; Canidae
Description: partial tRNA-Pro
Source: RNAcentral
CAGGGAAUAGUUUAAGAAGAAUCUCAG